This 985-nucleotide unclassified non-coding RNA is filed under the name Hevea brasiliensis (rubber tree). Lineage: Eukaryota; Viridiplantae; Streptophyta; Magnoliopsida; Malpighiales; Euphorbiaceae. The record is from RNAcentral.
GCAUUAGAGUCAGCAGCUAAAUUACCUGUAAGAAUUCUGCUAACUACUAUUGAAACCAUCAAUCGGUUCAAUCAACUAGAGCCAACUUCGUUUUUAAAGCUUCCUUUCUGUAUUACACCUAGGCAGUGGAACAACAAUGAGACUAGUGCUAUCUUGUGCAACAUACAAUAUUCAGGUAUAACAUUUAUUUCUCUGAACUGGAAGCUACUAUCUUGACGUAGUGGGAAGCUCAGCCACCUUAAAAGCCUGAGAAAUCCCGUGAACCAUGAACUUCUUUGAUGAUAAGAUUUCCGGUACUGCAAUCUCCACGCCAUUAAUGGCUAAUACUUUUGUGAUAUUGAAAUCUCCAGUUAUCUCAAGUUCUUGAUUAGGAAGCAGUGUCCUUAACAUUGUUUUACCAGGCAAUAAUGCAAGUUGUGAAAACGUAACCCUUUGAGGCAGAAUGUGAAGCCUCACAAUCUUGUCAAGCAUUGGCGAGGGAGAUGCUACAAACGCUAAUUCUGGAGGAGCAAAGAUUGUUACAGAAUUCAAGCCCCUGUAAUCUUCAAGAAUCCCAGCAAGAACAGAGUUCAAUCCAAUUGCAAAAGACACAAAACCGUUAGAGCUUAGCAAACGGACUAUUCUGGUCCAUUCAACCAGGUUCUUGGUGUCGCUGACAUCCAAAACUAAACUAGAAUUGGCAUCACAAAUUGGAGCUCGAAUAGAAUCCCAGAUCUUGCCAAAAUCUUGAGAACCCAGUGAGGAAAAAGGUCCAAGAACGCCAUGAAUUGCAACAUUUCCUUCAAUAAAUAUGUCAGGGUGUGAAACCAAGACAUGAUUGAUCUCUACCAGUCUUUCUUUUGCCCCAACCUUUGUAACAGCAACAUUCUUUGGACGAAGAAGGGUAGGGAAGCAGCUACCCUGAGGUUUCUUUAACAGAUCAUCCAUUGUAAAAAUCAAUGGGGAGGUAUGGUAUUGGAGAAGAUGUUUCAAGAACCAUGGAGAA